UUGACUGUCAUGCACCCUGACAUUAUAUACCUAGUCAGCUUCUUACAUCCAAGGUUAUGCAUCCACACACACACAAUUUCCACCUGUUUUUCCAGACGGAGGAGGAACUAUGCGAUUUCCCUGCCAUGGCAGUGUGGAAUUUGCUCAACAUUAAAUUCGACCAUGAAGGCUUCAAAGAAAAUUGGACUGAUGCUUAUACCCGAUGGGAUGCUUGGCGUUCGAGGAGUGACAUAGACUUGUUUUGGACCUACUGGGAGGAUGAUUACUUCUGGAGAGCUUAUUGCUUCAGGCAUUAUGAGGAUGAAGCAGAGCUGGUUAGAAAUGGUAUUACGCACUUUAACGAAAAUGUAAUGAAAGACGUGCCCCCUCCUGAUGAUUUCUUCAACAAACGCCAAAUAGGAGAGGUCGUUCUUGAUCUCUUCCCAGAUGUCUCCUUCAGACUGUUCGAUUUUAUGUGGGACAAUGAUGUGAAUAUGGACUUCACCAUGUCCCGCACAUGUUACAGCGAAUGAAGUGCUUGACUAGUUAAGUUAUUUUGACCUCCCGCAAGUGAUGUCACUAAUUAUAGUCCAAGAUUGUCAAAGAGGUUUCUUCCGGAAUGGCUUGCUAUUAGUUUUUAGGGACCUGAGGUCAGAGCUACUGAGACUCCAGAAUCUGUAUGGACACAAUAAAGUGCAAUGUCUGCAAAUACUGAGUGCAAGGGAAAAAGCUGGUGUUGGUGACUGGGCAUGUCCUGAGGAGGCAUACGAGCAUCAGGAAAUGAGAUGAGCACAGGUUUGGAUUAGAUAUGCUGUUAAGAGUCUGCGAAUGUAAUGACCAAGCGUGUGGAAGAACUAUUAGAAAAGAUCAACAACAAUACCAUUAAGACUGAAAGUCCAAUCCGGAUAGAAGAAUACUUCACAGCUCUAAGGUGCGUUGAGCUAUUAUAUGGUGACCACGGGCUUGAUGUUAUGGGUGUGUUGAGGAAAAAGGCUCCACUAGCUUUGCCUGUUAUAUUAACGCGCUUGAAGCAAAAGCAAGAAGAGUGGGCAAGGUGUCGCUCUGACUUUAACAAAAUCUGGGGUGAUAUAUAUAUGCGAAAAACUAUCACAAGUCACUUGAUCAUCAUAGCUUCUACUUCAAGCAAUAGGACUCAAAGAGCUUAAGCACCAAAGCCUUGUUGGCGGAGAUUAAAGAGAUGAGUGAGAAGAAGUGGAAGGAAGAUGGUGUUCUUCUUGCUAUUGCUGCUGGAAAUAGACGACCUAUUAUUCCAAAUUUGGAAUUCGAGUACCCUGAUCCGGACAUCCAUGAAGAUCUGUAUCAAGUAUCAACUCAUCAAAUAGUUUUGUGGAGAAGUUUGCAGACCGAGCAAUUGGACAAAGUUAUGAAGAUAUGGACAACCUUCCUUGAGCCAGUGUUUGGUUUCCCUCCUCGGCCUCAGGUUGCAGAGGAUACUGAAGAUGUUGUGAAGGCAAAAACUCAUGCUGCCAAAAAUGGUGCUGUGAGCAGGGGAGAGUGAUGAUAGUCCUGAUGGUAGGGCUACUGUGACAGAGUCUAAACAGUUAAAUUCAUUGAGAAAUGGAGACGAAAGCAUAAAACCUGAACAGUCGGGCUCUGCAAGAGCUUGUACAGUAAAUGGAGCUAAUGGGCUCAAAGAAGAAAGUCAUUUCAUAUCAAGAACUGGAUGGAGGUGCUCCUUUGCUUCUUUCUGCGUACAAUGAGGAAUCAGUCCAAGGGUGGGCACAAAUCUAACAUGGAUGGGGCAGGGUUUGUUGAAUUUCACCUCUGGCAAAUCCAAAAGAGGACCAACAGUCAUUUCAUAUGAAAAACUGAGAUUUUAUGUUGCUCCAUUAAGCUGUUAAUCAAUGGACUCCCAGUGGACCAACACACCAAUGGCCAUGGAAUUCGCUUCCUGCUCAAUUCUGAGGCCUCAGUCUUUUUCAACCAUCUUUCACCGUACCAACUUCACCUCUUUGCUUUACCCAAGAACCAUCUCAACUUGCCCUCUCCAUUUUCGCCAACUUUCCCAAAAAACUUAACCUUUCCUGGAAAAUGUCGCCACUUUCAUCGCUUCAAUGCUUUCAGCUCACUUUCCGGCGCCAACUACCAGAACCCAUCUGCGCAACUCGCUGUUCUUCUUGAAGUUGAUGGUUUUAUGUUAAUUUUUCAGUAAGUGUGCUGGUACAAGGAAAAGAUGCUGAUUAUGUAUUUUAAUCAGAUUGGUUGGCCUUCGUCAUUGCCCACUACUGAGAAGGAAUCAUUUGUAAACAAUGUUCUGCAAAAAAAGGAACACCUGUGGUCAUACUGAGAUCCUAUAGUAAAAGUGGAGAUAAAAUUGCCAGGUCCAUUAUUGAUAAGCUUGGCCAUCGAAGAGUUGCGAAGCUAAAGAUUGUUGGGUUAAAGGAGGUGGACAUGAACUUCAUAUGGUCAAUUUUUGUGUCCAAACCUCAGGUUCGAUGGAGGCAGGUUGUUCCUAGUUGAAACCUCAGUUUCUUGCCUCAGCCUGUUACGCUCAGAACCACUUGCAAUGGUCUGUUCUGCUGUGAACAAGGAAUGGAAAGAUGAAUGAGCUUUAGAGACUUUUCAACUUUUGAAAUUUGCAGCACAUUUUGAACUUUGAAAUUUUUGCAGAAGCUUAACUUUACUAGUCAUUUUUUCAUUGGCAUUACUUUCGAGUGAUGAAUUAAUCUUUGCAUAAUCAACAUGGAUUUCGUCACAUUUAACUUUUC
This is a long non-coding RNA of Rosa chinensis, 2708 nucleotides long. RefSeq lists it as uncharacterized. The transcript is spliced from 9 exons. Lineage: Eukaryota; Viridiplantae; Streptophyta; Magnoliopsida; Rosales; Rosaceae. The record is from RefSeq and is a predicted model, not a curated record.